UCCAAGCAGUUGACCCGGGUUCGA
Molecule: non-coding RNA, 24 nt
Filed under: Bos taurus (domestic cattle)
Lineage: Eukaryota; Metazoa; Chordata; Mammalia; Artiodactyla; Bovidae
Also listed under: 2 other names
Source: RNAcentral